AUUGAACGCUGGCGGCAUGCUUUACACAUGCAAGUCGAACGGUAACAGGCCGCAAGGUGCUGACGAGUGGCGAACGGGUGAGUAAUGCAUCGGAACGUGCCCAGUCGUGGGGGAUAACUACUCGAAAGAGUAGCUAAUACCGCAUACGAUCUAUGGAUGAAAGCGGGGGACCGUAAGGCCUCGCGCGAUUGGAGCGGCCGAUGUCAGAUUAGGUAGUUGGUGGGGUAAAGGCUCACCAAGCCAACGAUCUGUAGCUGGUCUGAGAGGACGACCAGCCACACUGGGACUGAGACACGGCCCAGACUCCUACGGGAGGCAGCAGUGGGGAAUGUUGGACAAUGGGCGCAAGCCUGAUCCAGCAAUGCCGCGUGCAGGAAGAAGGCCUUCGGGUUGUAAACUGCUUUUGUACGGAACGAAACGGCUCUGGUUAAUACCCGGGGCUAAUGACGGCACCGGAAGAAUAAGCACCGGCUAACUACGUG
RNAcentral lists this ribosomal RNA (482 nucleotides) under uncultured bacterium. RNAcentral describes it as "partial 16S ribosomal RNA". It matches the Rfam family "Bacterial small subunit ribosomal RNA", at positions 30 to 507 of the family's 1533-position model. The record is from RNAcentral.